Molecule: ribosomal RNA, 582 nt
Filed under: uncultured fungus
Lineage: Eukaryota; Fungi
Description: eukaryotic LSU rRNA
Rfam family: 5.8S ribosomal RNA (bases 163-317)
Source: RNAcentral
GGGACAUGUGCACGCUCUGUCUACACAUGCACUCGCACCUGUGCACCCUCCGUAGUUCUAUGGUCUGGGGGACCCUGUCUUCCUGCCGUGGUUCUAGGUCUUUACACACACUCUGUAAUAAAGUCCUAUGGAAUGUAUGCCGCGUCUAACGCAAUACAAUACAGCUUUCAGCAACGGAUCUCUUGGCUCUCGCAUCGAUGAAGAACGCAGCGAAAUGCGAUAAGUAAUGUGAAUUGCAGAAUUCAGUGAAUCAUCGAAUCUUUAAACGCACCUUGCGCACCUUGGCUAUUCCGAGGGGCAUGCCUGUUUGAGUAUCAUGAACACCUCAACUCUCAUGGUUCGCCGUGAUGAGCUUGGACUCUGGGGGUUUUGCUGGCCUGUGGUCGGCUCCCCACAAAUGAAUCAGCCUCCCAGUGUUUGGUGGCAUCACGGGUGUGAUAAAUAUCUACGCUCGCGGUUGUCUGCCAGGUAACCUUUGGUGACAAAGGUUCGCUGGAGCUCGCAGAUGUCUCUCCUCGGCGAGGACAGCUUUUUUGAACGUUCAGAUCUCAAAUCAGGUAGGACUACCCGCUGAACUUAAGC